UUUUUCAUUUUCAUGUUACCAGACGCUAAUGAAAUUCAGAUCUAAAUAGCGAAGCUCAAAACCCCUCCUCCCCGUUCGCUUCCUCUGUCACCUCCCGAUUUCUCCUUCUCUGUAUCUAUACGCGCAGGCUUGCCAUUCGUCAUUGCUGAUGCAAUAGUGUGUUUUCUCGAUCUCUUCAUGUGCUGAUCGGAUCCGAGUGUUUCUAUUUGGGAUUUCCGGUGAUUGAAGAAGAUGUUGACGAAGUUUGAGACGAA
Non-coding RNA from Carica papaya (papaya), 254 nucleotides. The record is from RefSeq and is a predicted model, not a curated record. NCBI's taxonomy places the organism in Eukaryota, Viridiplantae, Streptophyta, Magnoliopsida, Brassicales, Caricaceae.